ACUCAAAGGAAUAGACGGGGGCCCGCACAAGCGGUGGAACAUGUGGUUUAAUUCGAUGCAACGCGAAGAACCUUACCUACCCUUGACAUCCUGCGAAGGCGCUAGAGAUAGUGCUGUGCCUUCGGGAAUGCAGUGACAGGUGCUGCAUGGCUGUCGUCAGCUCGUGUCGUGAGAUGUUGGGUUAAGUCCCGUAACGAGCGCAACCCUCGUCCUUAGUUACCAUCAUUUAGUUGGGGACUCUAAGGAGACUGCCGGUGUUAAACCGGAGGAAGGUGGGGAUGAUGUCAAGUCAUCAUGGCCUUUAUGGGUAGGGCUACACACGUGUUACAAUGGGCAGUACAACAGGCUGCGAGACCGCAAGGUCGAGCUAAUCCUAAAAGCUGCUCGUAGUCCGGAUUGAAGUCUGCAACUCGACUUCAUGAAGUUGGAAUCGCUAGUAAUCGCGGAUCAGAACGCCGCGGUGAAUACGUUCCCGGGCCUUGCACACACCGCCCGU
Molecule: ribosomal RNA, 496 nt
Filed under: uncultured bacterium
Lineage: Bacteria
Description: partial 16S ribosomal RNA
Rfam family: Bacterial small subunit ribosomal RNA
Source: RNAcentral